Molecule: transfer RNA, 85 nt
Filed under: Thermoplasmatales archaeon SW_10_69_26
Lineage: Archaea; Methanobacteriati; Thermoplasmatota; Thermoplasmata; Thermoplasmatales
Description: tRNA-Ser
Rfam family: tRNA
About the family: Transfer RNA (tRNA) molecules are approximately 80 nucleotides in length. Their secondary structure includes four short double-helical elements and three loops (D, anti-codon, and T loops).
Source: RNAcentral
GCGGGGAUUGCCUAGCCUGGUAAGGCGCAGGAUUGCUAAUCCUGUGGCUGAUAAAGCCCCGCGGGUUCGAAUCCCGCUCCCCGCG